Molecule: ribosomal RNA, 412 nt
Filed under: uncultured Parabacteroides sp.
Lineage: Bacteria; Pseudomonadati; Bacteroidota; Bacteroidia; Bacteroidales; Tannerellaceae
Description: bacterial SSU rRNA
Rfam family: Bacterial small subunit ribosomal RNA
Source: RNAcentral
UAAGGGAUAUUGGUCAAUGGGGCGGGAGCCUGAACCAGCCAUGCCGCGUGAGGGAAUGAGGCCCUACGGGUCGUAAACCUCUUUUGCCGGGGGAUAACGGGCGCCACGGGUGGCGCCGUGAAGGUACCCGGAGAAUAAGCAUCGGCUAACUCCGUGCCAGCAGCCGCGGUAAUACGGAGGAUGCGAGCGUUAUCCGGAUUUAUUGGGUUUAAAGGGUGCGUAGGUGGCUUGUUAAGUCAGCGGUGAAAGUCAGAGGCUCAACCAUUGAAUUGCCGUUGAAACUGGCGAGCUUGAGUACGUACGGGGCAGGCGGAAUGCGUGGUGUAGCGGUGAAAUGCAUAGAUAUCACGCAGAACCCCGAUCGCGAAGGCAGCCUGCCAGGCCGUGACUGACACUGAUGCACGAAAGCGUG